Meleagris gallopavo (turkey) is the source of this 455-nucleotide non-coding RNA. The record is from RefSeq and is a predicted model, not a curated record. NCBI's taxonomy places the organism in Eukaryota, Metazoa, Chordata, Aves, Galliformes, Phasianidae.
CUGCUCCACUGGAGUUUCUCACGUGAGCCCAGGUUAUGGCUCCUGCGGGCUGAGAUCUGCGUUCUCUGCCCAGUGCUCCAUGUCCAUCUUCUGGUCAGAAGGAAAGAGGAAGGCCCUAGGGACCCAGUGAGCUGGUCAGUGACAGGGACAGGCUGCUUGCCCAGGUACCACACCGUUGUUCACCAGCAGGAGCAUCACAAGGGCAGGCUCUGAGCCUAUGGGGGCAGCUCCAAAGUUGAAAUCCAGCAGGAGAGCUCUUUUUGGAGAAAGAAUACUGGGUGUAAGGAAUGCCUUUGGAUUUUCUCUGAUCUUUUACGCAUGGGAUACAUGGAGGAUCUGUAUUCAUUCAGUGUGUCCAGGGAAAGAAGCCUCCAGAGAAGCAGCCUGCUGAUGCCGCUAGCACUCCCUGCUGAGCAGGCAUCAGCGAUGCGGAACAUUGGGUGGGCGCCUGUUGC